This 518-nucleotide ribosomal RNA is filed under the name uncultured Flavobacterium sp. RNAcentral's name for it is "bacterial SSU rRNA". It matches the Rfam family "Bacterial small subunit ribosomal RNA", at positions 8 to 527 of the family's 1533-position model. The record is from RNAcentral. Lineage: Bacteria; Pseudomonadati; Bacteroidota; Flavobacteriia; Flavobacteriales; Flavobacteriaceae.
AGAGUUUGAUCCUGGCUCAGGAUGAACGCUAGCGGCAGGCUUAACACAUGCAAGUCGAGGGGUAUAGUUCUUCGGAGCUAGAGACCGGCGCACGGGUGCGUAACGCGUAUGCAAUCUACCUUUUACAGAGGGAUAGCCCAGAGAAAUUUGGAUUAAUACCUCAUAGUAUGUGAGAAUCGCAUGGUUUUCACAUUAAAGUUCCAACGGUAAAAGAUGAGCAUGCGUCCCAUUAGCUAGAUGGUAAGGUAACGGCUUACCAUGGCGACGAUGGGUAGGGGUCCUGAGAGGGAGAUCCCCCACACUGGUACUGAGACACGGACCAGACUCCUACGGGAGGCAGCAGUGAGGAAUAUUGGACAAUGGGCGCAAGCCUGAUCCAGCCAUGCCGCGUGCAGGAUGACGGUCCUAUGGAUUGUAAACUGCUUUUGUACAGGAAGAAACACUCCCUCGUGAGGGAGCUUGACGGUACUGUAAGAAUAAGGAUCGGCUAACUCCGUGCCAGCCGCCGCGGUAAUUCA